This is a long non-coding RNA of Perca fluviatilis (European perch), 749 nucleotides long. RefSeq lists it as uncharacterized. The transcript is spliced from 4 exons. The record is from RefSeq and is a predicted model, not a curated record. Lineage: Eukaryota; Metazoa; Chordata; Actinopteri; Perciformes; Percidae.
ACAACACCGGUACACACACCUGGCUAACAGGACAGACAAAAGAUCUGUUCGCUUGGUCCCAAAUUUGAACUGAAAUACUGCCAUUGACUAAAACCUAUGCUGACUACACUUCACCGACGGUGUUAUAACGCAAGGUAGGACGAAGAUACCAAGAAGAACAUUGUCGGCUGUCAACAGUAAAGACUUUCCUCCGCUCAAGACUGCUAGCCCGUAUGCUAACGCGGGAAACAAGUUAGCUUUCCACAGCUAGCUAAGCUGCUAGCCCUAGUAUGGAGGAUACAUCAAAGUUGGCCACAGAGACUGAACCUUCCCUCGGUGAUGUUUUAACCACCAUAAGGAACCUGGACAACAAGAUGAAUCCAUUCCACAAGCAAGAAAGCAUUUCAGGACAGAGCCCAUGAGGACCUCCAUUACCCACAUGGCACAGCGGAUGGACACAUUUGAGGAAAAGAUGGAUGAGCUGCUCAUGCUCUUAAGGAGCUCCCAGUCACCUCCCUCUGCUCCAGUCGAUGACGUGUUGCUGUCGCCCUGCUCAACAGUCAUCGAGCUGCAGGAGUUCAACAGGAGUCUCGGUCAACAGGAGAGGAGGAACAAAAUGCCUGCAGGGCAGAAAGACAAAGGCCUUCCAGGACCUGACAAUCUGCAGGGUUAUAACAGGCAGGUGUUAUUUUAUUGUUCACAUCAGUAUUAUGCGUAGCUUGGCUGAUAAGGGGUUUUAAUUUGACUUGUAACUUUGCUUCCUCUUGCUA